AGCGGUGUGGCGCAGUGGAUAGCGUGCUGGGCCCAUAACUCGAAUUCGGGGGGUUUACCCAGAGGUCGAAGGAUCGAGACCUUCCACCGCUA
This 92-nucleotide transfer RNA is filed under the name Chrysochromulina tobinii. Its description in RNAcentral is "Chrysochromulina sp. CCMP291 tRNA". It matches the Rfam family "tRNA". From Rfam's summary of the family: Transfer RNA (tRNA) molecules are approximately 80 nucleotides in length. Their secondary structure includes four short double-helical elements and three loops (D, anti-codon, and T loops). The record is from Rfam by way of RNAcentral. Lineage: Eukaryota; Haptophyta; Prymnesiales; Chrysochromulinaceae.